ACCUGCUCAUCUUCACGCAGGUGGUUUUCAAUCAGCUGAUGAGCGCUGAUUGCUUCCUCCUCCUUCCUCCUCCUUCUCCUCUUCUUAUUUAAUCUUCUUCCAGCCAAGAGUUCCGUGAUGUCACUUUGAAGAGAAGCUGCACGAGCCGUGGAACGAAAAAAAAAAGACGCGAAAAAAGUGUCGCUGCUUAACUACUGAAAGUGUUCCGGGAGGAGGGAACUUGUGGCGGUAACUCACCAACCGCCAUAAAAGCUCAAAAGAGAACGAGGGAAGUUUAAAAAUAGAAGAGAAAAAAAAAGAAAACUCCCGCGGCGUGACGUCAGACGCCGAAAAGGUGACCGCGUGGAUCAGCUCCUGUAUCAAACCGUAGCAAGACGCUCCAGGAUGGCGUGUUCGACCUGGUCCAGAUUGGUGGCCUGUCCAGAAUGGAACAACCUGCUUCCUGCUCACGGAGACCUGGUCGGACCCGCCAUAUACAAAAGCCUGAUGCUGUUUAAAAAAGAUUGAUCUUCAUGAAGAUCGUCAAAUAGUAAGGUGUCAUGAUUUAAUUGUGGGUGCCCGCCGUGUCCCCACUCUCUCUUGGCCGCUGUGCCUACAUCUCUCUGCAUUGUCCAACAUGGCCACGUUUUUUCUGUUCUCCUGCUUUCCAUCUGUCAAAUAGCUGAGGGUUGUACAUGGAGCAUUUGCCACAGGUUGGUUUUGUAUGUUCCUGUCCACCUUAUUGGGUGGUCUGAAAUCUGGUCCUCGUUGGUUAUAUUUUUGUGGAACUGCUGAGUGAUUUGAAAGAGUGAGGUGACUGAUGGAGUGUUUGAGAUUCUCUCUCUGAAUGAAUGGGUUGUGUGUGACUGAGAUGCCUGGAUUAAAUAGUUCAGAUGGUCUGAGAAUAUGAUUAUGUUCAGCAGUUCACAUUAAAGUAGAUAUGGUGUCUUGAAGGGCUUAGAUGCUUGUUAAGUUAUAAUGCACUAACAUUUCCUUUUUAGGUCUGUCUACAAAGGGUGAGUCCAUAUUUUUUCAUUUCUUCUCUGGGGGCUACUGUCUUGGCCUCCAUGUGUGCUAGGGUUUGCAGAGUAGGGGAAUAAAACAAAAGAAAACUUGUGCGUUGUGUUUUUUGAAAGUGAAGGUACUUAGGUGUCAGCAACUGACUUGCUAGUCUAGCUGCCGACAGCUAACUACGAAUCACACUGACAAUUUACAUGCAACAGUAAGAACACGCCUCUCUAUGGAGGCGCUUUCUUGCCUUGCCACUGUACCCUUAAACACUUUUUCUUUCCAACUGUUUCUUAGGACGGUAAGUGACACGCAGGCCGCGGGCCACAUCGCUCUUCUGGCCACCGUGUCGAUCUGUCCUGGCCCUCCUCGUGCCUUUCCUCACUUUAAUGAGAACAUGUCUCUAUAAGGUAAAAAAAAAAUAUCAACUUGAACUGUUUUCUUUAGCAUUAAAAUAUAGUGAUGUUGGAGGACCAGAUCUUUAAUGAGGUUUAAAUGGAUGUUGGUGUACCUUUUUAAAGUUAGAUGGUAGGAAUAAAGUUAAUGUUGUGCCUUGUGAACUCUGUCACAAGGCUUAGACUUCUUGGCCGCUGUGCCUUAUUUUUAUUUCUUUUUCUCUUUUCCAUCGUGGCCAUUAAUUUACCGUUAGCCUUAGCACGUUAAAAUGGAUCCUGGUGAUCUACUAACACAGUACCUGGCUUUGGAUGGCAGCUGUGCCAUUGCCUUUUUAUGGCCAUACGUCCUUUAAUGCAAGUAGGCCAUGAUCGCUAACUGUGCCCGCGCCUUCGUGGUCUACUUGUGUCAUUGUACGUCUGGCCUUGCGCGUAUAGUCAUUUUACAUAGACAAACAUGGGUGCCUUCCGCGUCCAUGCACAGUAAGUGAACUAACCUGUACUUUCCUUCUAGCAUCAGUCAAGAGGAGCACCGACAUCCCUGCAUGUCCAACUUAAUUAGAUCGCGUUUUAGGUCAGGUAAAAUUUCAAAUGUUAAGUGCAGUUUAUCUUUUUAGCUUGGCCGCUGUGCCAAUACUAUACCUGCUCUGAUCUCUCUCUCGCUCUCUCUCUCUCUCUCUCUCUCUCUCUCUGUCUCAGUCUCUCUC
This is a long non-coding RNA of Solea solea (common sole), 2086 nucleotides long. RefSeq lists it as uncharacterized. The transcript is spliced from 3 exons. Lineage: Eukaryota; Metazoa; Chordata; Actinopteri; Pleuronectiformes; Soleidae. The record is from RefSeq and is a predicted model, not a curated record.